GUCGAGGGGUAAAGGAGCUUGCUCCUUUGAGACCGGCGCACGGGUGCGUAACGCGUAUGCAAUCUACCUUUCACAGAGGGAUAGCCCAGAGAAAUUUGGAUUAAUACCUCAUAGUAUAGCAGUUUCGCAUGAAACCACUAUUAAAGUCACAACGGUGAAAGAUGAGCAUGCGUCCCAUUAGCUAGUUGGUAAGGUAACGGCUUACCAAGGCAACGAUGGGUAGGGGUCCUGAGAGGGAGAUCCCCCACACUGGUACUGAGACACGGACCAGACUCCUACGGGAGGCAGCAGUGAGGAAUAUUGGACAAUGGGCGCAAGCCUGAUCCAGCCAUGCCGCGUGCAGGAUGACGGUCCUAUGGAUUGUAAACUGCUUUUGUACAGGAAGAAACACCUCUACGUGUAGAGACUUGACGGUACUGUAAGAAUAAGGAUCGGCUAACUCCGUGCCAGCAGCCGCGGUAAUACGGAGGAUCCAAGCGUUAUCCGGAAUCAUUGGGUUUAAAGGGUCCGUAGGCGGUUUAGUAAGUCAGUGGUGAAAGCCCAUCGCUCAACGGUGGAACGGCCAUUGAUACUGCUAGACUUGAAUUAUUAGGAAGUAACUAGAAUAUGUAGUGUAGCGGUGAAAUGCUUAGAGAUUACAUGGAAUACCAAUUGCGAAGGCAGGUUACUACUAAUUGAUUGACGC
This 685-nucleotide ribosomal RNA is filed under the name uncultured bacterium. RNAcentral describes it as "bacterial SSU rRNA". It matches the Rfam family "Bacterial small subunit ribosomal RNA", at positions 61 to 746 of the family's 1533-position model. The record is from RNAcentral.